Asparagus officinalis (garden asparagus) is the source of this 967-nucleotide long non-coding RNA. RefSeq lists it as uncharacterized. The record is from RefSeq and is a predicted model, not a curated record. NCBI's taxonomy places the organism in Eukaryota, Viridiplantae, Streptophyta, Magnoliopsida, Asparagales, Asparagaceae. The transcript has 2 exons.
UUAUUGAUUCUAGUCUUCGAAUGAAUUUUGUUUUUCGUGGUUAUUCAUGCGCUCAUAAUAAACUUUGAAAUUUAUAAACUGGGCUUCGGGGUUAAUUGUCAAGCUUGCGGUCUACAUCCAAGCACACUCUAAAAAUAAGCGCCUCCCAUUUUCUCAAAACCUCUCCUCAGCAAGAGUGUCAGUCUCUCUCAUCUGUUCAAGUGAACUGACUAUUUCUAAUUCUAAACCCUAAUCCUAAAUCAACCCAACCCAGAGCGGAAUCUAAGCAUUUUCUUAUCAUCUUGCCAUCCUACACUCCUGAGUGGAAUCAUAGCAGACAAGUCAGCUCCUAAAGUAGUCGCCCAUGUAGAAGACUUCGAAGACGACGACGAGCCACAGUAUGUCAUCGCAAGAAGACGUUUGAGUACAGAGUCAACUGAUCCUGGCAGAACAAUAGCAAAUGUCCUAGAGGACAUCGCAGCUAGUCAUCCUCCUCCCACCAAUUGCACUUCAACCCAUAGACCCAAUUCAACGCACAGAUCUAGAGGGCAGCACCGAUGACACCUCGAGAGCGCUCCUGGAUCUAAAGAGAGGAACGCAUAUGAGCGAUUUGGUAGAGAUACAUUUGGCAACAAAAAAGAUGUAUGAUUACAAGAUUUACGUUUACAUCUACAUAAAAGCUAUUAUUGAAGGAAGAAGCGUUCGACACUUCACACCCGAAGAUCAAACUAUAUGGGUCAUGCGAGUGAAGCUAGCAUCUCAUUUACUAAUUGAGGGGAGAAUGAAGAAAAAAACUUCUCGAUAAACUUGACGAUGAUGACGUUGAAAGAACAGAUCCAUAAUAUAAAGAAGAUCUGGAUCAUAGGCUUGAUUGUUAGUGUUGAAAACAACUUUAACUGGUUUUCAAAACACUAUUAAAUGUUGUAAAUAUUAUGAAUGUAAAUAUUUAAUUGUUUAUGGUAUGUAAGUGAGUUUAUGAGGAGUAAUC